This 534-nucleotide ribosomal RNA is filed under the name Alternaria alternata. RNAcentral's name for it is "eukaryotic LSU rRNA". The stretch from base 159 to 312 matches the Rfam family "5.8S ribosomal RNA". Lineage: Eukaryota; Fungi; Ascomycota; Dothideomycetes; Pleosporales; Pleosporaceae. The record is from RNAcentral.
CUUGCAGGCGGGCUGGACCUCUCGGGGUUACAGCCUUGCUGAAUUAUUCACCCUUGUCUUUUGCGUACUUCUUGUUUCCUUGGUGGGUUCGCCCACCACUAGGACAAACAUAAACCUUUUGUAAUUGCAAUCAGCGUCAGUAACAAAUUAAUAAUUACAACUUUCAACAACGGAUCUCUUGGUUCUGGCAUCGAUGAAGAACGCAGCGAAAUGCGAUAAGUAGUGUGAAUUGCAGAAUUCAGUGAAUCAUCGAAUCUUUGAACGCACAUUGCGCCCUUUGGUAUUCCAAAGGGCAUGCCUGUUCGAGCGUCAUUUGUACCCUCAAGCUUUGCUUGGUGUUGGGCGUCUUGUCUCUAGCUUUGCUGGAGACUCGCCUUAAAGUAAUUGGCAGCCGGCCUACUGGUUUCGGAGCGCAGCACAAGUCGCACUCUCUAUCAGCAAAGGUCUAGCAUCCAUUAAGCCUUUUUUCAACUUUUGACCUCGGAUCAGGUAGGGAUACCCGCUGAACUUAAGCAUAUCAAAAGCCGGGAGGAA